CCAACGGCAGUGAAAAGAAGUAGUAACUCCUGUGCCUAUUGUUCAGAGAGCCAGCGAUUCGGUGCGAGCUGGUACAUUAGGGAGAGCGAACUCAUCUUGGAGCCAGAGGGUGACAGUCAUAGCAGAAACGUAAUCCGCAUGGCUUUAGCCUGAUCGUAGCCCCCGCGUUAAGGGGAAGAGUGAACACGGGUAAAGCAUACCCGCUGUUAACUAGGGUGGUACCACGGGAAGCAUGCCUCUCGUCCCUAGC
RNAcentral lists this non-coding RNA (250 nucleotides) under Paenibacillus xerothermodurans. RNAcentral describes it as "Bacillus xerothermodurans T-box sequence". It matches the Rfam family "T-box leader". Rfam says of the family: Uncharged tRNA acts as the effector for transcription antitermination of genes in the T-box leader family. T-boxes are found upstream of many aminoacyl-tRNA synthetase genes and some amino acid biosynthetic genes usually in Gram-positive bacteria. Lineage: Bacteria; Bacillati; Bacillota; Bacilli; Caryophanales; Paenibacillaceae. The record is from RNAcentral.